This 422-nucleotide ribosomal RNA is filed under the name uncultured bacterium. RNAcentral's name for it is "bacterial SSU rRNA". It matches the Rfam family "Bacterial small subunit ribosomal RNA", at positions 362 to 776 of the family's 1533-position model. The record is from RNAcentral.
UAUUGGACAAUGGGGGAAACCCUGAUCCAGCCAUGCCGCGUGUGUGAAGAAGGCCUUAGGGUUGUAAAGCACUUUAAUUGAGGAGGAAGCUAUUUUGGUUAAUACCCGAGAUAGUUGACGUUACUCAAAGAAUAAGCACCGGCUAACUCCGUGCCAGCAGCCGCGGUAAUACGGAGGGUGCAAGCGUUAAUCGGAAUUACUGGGCGUAAAGCGCACGUAGGCGGCUUACUAAGUCGGAUGUGAAAGCCCCGGGCUCAACCUGGGAAUUGCCUUCGAUACUGGUAAGCUAGAGUGCAAGAGAGGGUGGUGGAAUUUCUAGUGUAGCGGUGAAAUGCGUAGAUAUUAGAAGGAACAUCAGUGGCGAAGGCGGCCACCUGGCUUGACACUGACGCUGAGGUCCGAAAGCGUGGGGAGCAAACAGG